CCGAGUUUACAACUCCCAAACCCCUGUGAACAUACCAUUGUUGCUUCGGCGGACCGCCCCGGGCGCUUUUUGUGCCCCGGAUCCAGGCGCCCGCCGGAGGACCCAAACUCUUGUUUUAAUAGUGAACUUCUGAGUGGAUUAAACAAAUAAAUCA
Molecule: unclassified non-coding RNA, 154 nt
Filed under: uncultured Sordariomycetes
Lineage: Eukaryota; Fungi; Ascomycota; Sordariomycetes
Description: sequence contains ITS1
Source: RNAcentral